This 253-nucleotide ribosomal RNA is filed under the name uncultured bacterium. Its description in RNAcentral is "partial 16S ribosomal RNA". It matches the Rfam family "Bacterial small subunit ribosomal RNA", at positions 524 to 776 of the family's 1533-position model. The record is from RNAcentral.
UACGUAGGGUGCGAGCGUUGUCCGGAAUUAUUGGGCGUAAAGAGCUCGUAGGCGGCUUGUUGCGUCAGCUGUGAAAACCCGCAGCUCAACUGUGGGCUUGCAGCUGAUACGGGCAGGCUUGAGUUCGGUAGGGGAGACUGGAAUCCCUGGUGUAGCGGUGAAAUGCGCAGAUAUCAGGAGGAACACCGGUGGCGAAGGCGGGUCUCUGGGCCGAUACUGACGCUGAGGAGCGAAAGCGUGGGGAGCGAACAGG